AUGGAAAGUAACAGAGCGCCCGGCCCUGACAAUAUCCCUGUGGAAUUCUAUAAACACUAUUAGGAAUUUGUUAAAAAUGAUAUUAUGCACCUAUUCAAAGCAUUCCACAACAAUACCUUGGAUGUGGCACGCCUGAACUAUGGUGUCAUAACACUGAUUCCUAAGAUGAAUGGAGCAAAGAAAAUACAAUAGUACCGCCCAAUAUGCCUCCUACGAUGCCCAUACAAACUGAUCACGAAAGUUCUGGACAAUAGGGUUGCGGUAUUUGCUGAUAAGCUGAUUAGCAAGCACCAGAAUGCUUUUAUCAAGCAUAGAAAUGUAAUGGAUGGAAUCCUCACG
Molecule: ribosomal RNA, 339 nt
Filed under: Triticum aestivum (bread wheat)
Lineage: Eukaryota; Viridiplantae; Streptophyta; Magnoliopsida; Poales; Poaceae
Description: partial small subunit ribosomal RNA
Source: RNAcentral